UUCUUUCGCUCGCCAAAAUGGAAAGUGAGAGCGGCGGCUAAACAACAAAUGGUGUAGAGAUUUUUUCGAAGAUUCUAUCUUAGAUGCAAUUAAGUUUGGCGGUAGGAAGCAAAGAACAUGUUCCAAGGGUAUGGCGAAGCAAGAAGUCGUAUCUUUUUCGGUAUAGAAAAUCGUGUCCAAGAGGAAAGAUUCCAUGUGCGGUGUCAACGUCUCCACUGGGCAUGUCCGAUCUGGCGAUCCAAGAGGAAGAUAUCUUUCCAUCAAUAAACUCUAUUGUGAGAAUUCCUAAGGGGUAGACAUAAUUUCAGAGCGAGAGAAGUGUUGAGCGAUAAACUUUAAAGAUGUUUUCCGUGAGUGCUGUCAUAUUCGUCAAAGAUGGUGGAAGCAUAAGGUGGGGGAGAAAGUUCGAGAAAGUUUGAGAAAGUUGAAGGAACAUGUGUUUUUGUCCGAGCUUCCCAAGCUCUAUGCUGUUGGAGAACUCUGCAAGGAUCUUGCCACCUUCAGGGAAAAGCUUCAAAAGAGAGUAACAAAGAGGAAAAUCUGAAACAAAGAAGAAUCAAGAAGAUGAUAUCCUGAUGCCCGGCAAGCAAAAGCUUCUCCAAUGUUGGAAACCUUGAUCGGGAAAGACGCCUCGUUGUUCAUUCCCGAAGGAGAAAACUUUAUAGUAUUUUGUACAGUAGCCACCAUAUGCCAAAAACACUAAAUGUAUGAAUAUGUGACUAAAUCAGCUUCUAUGAAUUUUUCGACUUGUUUAUCGAGGCCCGGCCUACCAAUAAGCAGGAAAAGCAUUUGUUUUAGGCCACUGAAUGUUAACAAAUUUUAAGUCCACAUGUUCAAGAUUAUUGUGGUUAGUUGGUUAUGUAGCACAUUUUUGAGUCAAAGGUUUGUGGUUCGAGUCUUCCAUUUUACAAUUUUCUUGUUUCUCUUUUUCUUUUUUUCUCUCUUUUAC
This 949-nucleotide small RNA is filed under the name Arabidopsis thaliana (thale cress). RNAcentral's name for it is "putative long intergenic non-coding RNA". Lineage: Eukaryota; Viridiplantae; Streptophyta; Magnoliopsida; Brassicales; Brassicaceae. The record is from RNAcentral.